Molecule: transfer RNA, 71 nt
Filed under: Eurypyga helias (sunbittern)
Lineage: Eukaryota; Metazoa; Chordata; Aves; Eurypygiformes; Eurypygidae
Description: tRNA-Pro
Rfam family: tRNA
About the family: Transfer RNA (tRNA) molecules are approximately 80 nucleotides in length. Their secondary structure includes four short double-helical elements and three loops (D, anti-codon, and T loops).
Source: RNAcentral
CAGAAAAUAGUUUAAGUUGAAAAUACCAGCUUUGGGAGUUGGUGAUGGAGGUUUGAGUCCUCUUUUUCUGA